UACAGAGGUCCCGAGCGUUGUUCGGAUUCACUGGGCGUAAAGGGUGCGUAGGUGGCAUGGCCAGUUUGAUGUGAAAGCUCAGGGCUUAACCCUGAAAUGGCAUUGAAUACUGCUGUGCUGGAGGUUUGGAGGGGGACUGGAAUUCUUGGUGUAGCAGUGAAAUGCGUAGAUAUCAAGAGGAACACCAGUGGCGAAGGCGAGUCCCUGGACAACACCUGACACUGAGGCACGAAAGCCGGGGGAGCAAACAGG
This 252-nucleotide ribosomal RNA is filed under the name uncultured bacterium. Its description in RNAcentral is "partial 16S ribosomal RNA". It matches the Rfam family "Bacterial small subunit ribosomal RNA", at positions 524 to 776 of the family's 1533-position model. The record is from RNAcentral.